UUUUAUAAUGGCUAAAUCAACCGAAUCAAGCUAAUUCCUUUCUUUUUCCCUUAUCAAACCCUAAAUCUCCCCCUCUAACUGCCGAUUCAUCUCCGCAAAAUGGUGCUCUCAAGUUUGAAGGAAUAACCUUUCAGCCUCGAGAUCUUCCCUUGGCUUCAAUUUCAACGAAGUAAAGAGAAGAAAUCCAUGGCAUAUUUGCACAGUAAGGUUUUUCUUUUCCUUUGUUUUCUUUUUUUAAAAGACAAAUGCAAUAAUGAAGCAUUCAAGAAAAUAAAUCGAAAGAAAAAAAAAACUAGAAAAGCUUAAAUCAUAAAUCACCUUAAAAAUUUUGACUGAUUUCUUUGUAUUCGAUUUGCAUGCGUAAUCUAUUUACAGUGUACAAUCGGCUUUUUAUAGCCGAGCCAAAGGAAAAAUAAUAAUAAAAUAGAAAAUGUAAAUACAAAUUUCUUUUUCUGUUAUUACUUUCUCAGUUUAUUUGUUCUUCUCGCAGGUUCUAUGGACGCCAGGCGUGCUGUACGGAGAAAGAGGCCGUGGAGGCCAUGCAUGGGAACCACUCGUGGGAGCCCGAUCUGCUGCUGCUCUAGCGGGUUCCAGAAACCUCUAGGGUUUCUAGUGUUUCCAAACUAUUGGGCCCCUUUGGGCCAUUUAUAAAUUGGGCUAGGAUUUUGGGUUUUGGACUAGUGUUUUAUUUCUGUUUCGGGCUAUGUUUUGUUAUGGGGCUUAAGGGAUUUAUUUGGGUUAAUGGACUUUGGGUUAGUGUUUUAGGCCUUUAUUUUUGUAAAAAGACUUGGACUUUUAAUUUAUUUGGUUCAUGGCUUUAUUUUUUAUUAUUAUUUUUUUCUAUUUUUGGUUUUGGUAUGGUUUUUUAUGGGCCCGGGCGAAAUGGGCCUAUUACACCCGUAAAAAGGGUAAUUCAAAUUUUGAUCGAAGGUAGGGCAUGCGGUAGUCUUGCAAUACCUGAAUUAACAAGGAGGAGAGAUGUUACGUCUUGGGGCAUCAACAGAGUGCUCUAGAUCCCCUAAACACAUAUUGAACUCAAAAGAGGUCCUCAAGAAGCUUGUACAGAGAAGCUCAUGCUGCGAUAUCUAGGGCACCUAUUUUCCUUUUAUUCAUUUUGUAUUCUAGCAAUAUUUGUUUUCUUUGAUAAAUCUACUCUUUUCAAAUGUUGUUUCUGAUAAAUUUUAGUUCUGUCCAUCAUUACGAUCUUUUUCAAGCAUUUUGCAUUGAAAUAACGAUUAAUGGACUAAU
Molecule: long non-coding RNA, 1248 nt
Filed under: Gossypium barbadense (sea-island cotton)
Lineage: Eukaryota; Viridiplantae; Streptophyta; Magnoliopsida; Malvales; Malvaceae
Description: long non-coding RNA (GBAR_LNC006174)
Source: RNAcentral